AGUGAACGCUGGCGGUAGGCCUAACACAUGCAAGUCGAACGGCAGCACAGGAGAGCUUGCUCUCUGGGUGGCGAGUGGCGGACGGGUGGGGAAUACAUCGGAAUCUACUCUGUCGUGGGGGAUAACGUAGGGAAACUUACGCUAAUACCGCAUACGACCUACGGGUGAAAGCAGGGGACCUUCGGGCCUUGCGCGAUUGAAUGAGCCGAUGUCGGAUUCGCUCGUUGGCGGGGUAAAGGCCCACCAAGGCGACGAUCCGUAGCUGGUCUGAGAGGAUGAUCAGCCACACUGGAACUGAGACACGGUCCAGACUCCUACGGGAGGCAGCAGUGGGGAAUAUUGGACAAUGGGCGCAAGCCUGAUCCAUCCAUACCGCGUGGGUGAAGAAGGCCUUCGGGUUGUAAAGCCCUUUUGUUGGGAAAGAAAUCCAGCUGGCUAAUACCCGGUUGGGAUGACGGUACCCAAAGAAUAAGCACCGGCUAACUUCGUGCCAGCAGCCGCAGUAA
This 506-nucleotide ribosomal RNA is filed under the name uncultured bacterium. RNAcentral describes it as "partial 16S ribosomal RNA". It matches the Rfam family "Bacterial small subunit ribosomal RNA", at positions 29 to 523 of the family's 1533-position model. The record is from RNAcentral.